Molecule: long non-coding RNA, 2092 nt
Organism: Macrobrachium nipponense
Lineage: Eukaryota; Metazoa; Arthropoda; Malacostraca; Decapoda; Palaemonidae
Exons: 3
Source: RefSeq, a predicted model, not a curated record
AAAAAAAUUGUAAUCUCAUUGAUUCAGUAUGAAGAGCAAUAUGAAGAGCAUGAAAAUAGGAAGAGGAUAAUGAUGGAGCCCAUAUGAGUACCUACCGGGAUUAGCAGCGAGACCAAAGGAGCGGGAGAUGUCGCCCCUUUUUUUACAGACGUUAGAGAACAUGACUUCCAGCAACACACGAGCUGAUCACAGAUAUGGGCCGGUGUGCCUUAUCAAAUUGCAUUUCUCCCUAGCCUCAUGAUGAGGCAUUUCACCUUAGCCCAUCCCUAGUUUACUGCUGUCUUGGUGAAGAUCAUAACGACUCGUUUAGACUUCUACUGUACUGUCUAGAACCAGGACUCUGCCUUGACAUCCUAUCGCUGACACCCCCUUGAAGUACCUGAGCGCUGCCCAACGUGGAAUCUAGAGCACUCUUCCAUUUUGUUCGUUGGUGAAGAACUCCAAGCGACACAGUCCUCCCUCUGAUGCCCAGCCUCAACAUUACAUUCGUGAUUUCCCUAUUGUGUGCUGUCAUCUGUAGUUUAACAGUGCCACUCAUCAUUUACUGGCAGUGCCAUUCUUCGAGACAAGGUUGCAGAGAUCUCAUUGGGAGCCAGCUUUGCUUAUAGUGCUCCACCUUGUGUUUAGUUUUAAGAAUUCUGUUGUUGAUUCUGCAACAAAUGUACCCACUCGAGUUAGUGUUUGCUUGCAAUUCAAUGGUACAUAUGACAAGACCAGGGUGGAUACAUUCAGACCCAGAAUGUUGUAUGAAAUUUCUAAUAAAUCAGAUCCUCCUCUGCAGUCAGCUCUUCCCAGACUAGAUUUGCAGUUAAAAUAAUUCGAAGUGUUGCCUUUUCUUGUGCGAGACUCGAUACAAAAAGUAUAGUGACCAUUCUACAUAUAUAAUUGCAUUGUAGAACCUUUUUAAGUUCAAACUUGCCACAGAAUUUGGAUUCUGUAGUCCAGAACAGAACAGUUGAUCUAUACUAUAUGUUAUAAUUGAUCUGCCAAGUUUUACUAGUUAGCUUUCAUUGACAGGUUUAGAGCUGGUGAGAUUUUAAUUUUGGUUUAUAUGUAAGGUAAUUAUUAAUUGUAACGAUAUCAGUGCUGCAUUUUUUCUCCAAGUCUGUAUUUUGAGCAAUUUUCACAUUGGAAGACAGUACAGGGUUACAGCUCUGUGUCAUUCAAAUGUCAUGGCAAUUUUUUCCCAUUCUUGUUUUAAACAUCUUCAAUGAAGUUUCCUUGCUUUCAGGGAAUCAAGUAGUGUAACUUUUAUUGGGAUGCCUCCCCUUUGUACCUUGGAUGCUGUUUUCAUGACGAUUCAUGAAAAUUCAGCUAUAAAGCCAGGCACUGGGGCACUUUCAGCCAUUUGGUACUUUAGAAUGGGAAGUUGGAAUGUUUGGGGAGAAGAUUGAUAAAGGAAGCAGAAUGGAGGUAAAGUAAAAGGCUAUAAAAGUUGGUUCAGCUAAUGACUAAAUGGACACCACAAACUAUGUAUAGUACAGUAAUGCCAACAGUUCAUGUGAAGUACAUUGGGGCACUCUCUACUGUGAGGUUGUGUCGUUUCAUAUUGUUGAGAUCAUCGAUUUUGUGACUUUCAAGUUAGGUUUCUAAAGCCCCUUCCACGAGGGGCAAAUGCACGGCGGGCAGACACUUAGCAAUUUUGAGAGUUGCUGGGAAUCUUAAGUGUGGUCAAGUCAUAGGUUCGCCUGCCUGUGACUACUGCCUCCCUUGGAUUGUUUGACCUACUAACACUGUUGAAAAGCCUAUUACAGGCAAAUCAGAGCCCAUCAUGUCUUCGCCCCUCGUGUGGAAAGGGCUUAACUAGUCACUCCCUUUAUCUGAAUAGCAUCUUGUGGUCCAUUUUUGUAUGUUACAAGCAUUAUACAUAUACAUUGACCUGGUUUUUCUUGUCAAAGAAGUCUGCAUUAGGUGUUAUAUAUAUUCUGCAAGUAUUUUUGACUAAUCUUAGAAUUGGUGUCUUGUUUAAUCCAUGGAUAUUUGAUUAACAGCCUACUUGUGAAAGUGUCCAAAAUGUAAAUGAAUAUAAAGUUGUGUUGACAAAUCAAAGAAUUUGUCAAAAUCAGUUUUCAUUUUGCUCAUAAAAUAUUAA